GACGAACGCUGGCGGCGUGCUUAACACAUGCAAGUCGAACGGAAAGGCCCUGCUUUUGUGGGGUGCUCGAGUGGCGAACGGGUGAGUAACACGUGAGUAACCUGCCCUUGACUUUGGGAUAACUUCAGGAAACUGGGGCUAAUACCGGAUAGGAGCUCCUGCUGCAUGGUGGAGGUUGGAAAGUUUCGGCGGUUGGGGAUGGACUCGCGGCUUAUCAGCUUGUUGGUGGGGUAGUGGCUUACCAAGGCUUUGACGGGUAGCCGGCCUGAGAGGGUGACCGGCCACAUUGGGACUGAGAUACGGCCCAGACUCCUACGGGAGGCAGCAGUGGGGAAUAUUGCACAAUGGGCGGAAGCCUGAUGCAGCAACGCCGCGUGCGGGAUGACGGCCUUCGGGUUGUAAACCGCUUUCGCCUGUGACGAAGCGUGAGUGACGGUAAUGGGUAAAAAAGCACCGGCUAACUACGUG
This 468-nucleotide ribosomal RNA is filed under the name uncultured bacterium. RNAcentral's name for it is "partial 16S ribosomal RNA". It matches the Rfam family "Bacterial small subunit ribosomal RNA", at positions 28 to 507 of the family's 1533-position model. The record is from RNAcentral.